This 67-nucleotide transfer RNA is filed under the name Neucentropus mandjuricus. RNAcentral describes it as "tRNA-Ile". The record is from RNAcentral. Lineage: Eukaryota; Metazoa; Arthropoda; Insecta; Trichoptera; Polycentropodidae.
AAUAAAAUGCCUGAUAAAAGGAUUAUUCUGAUAGAAUAAAUUAUAUAAUUAAUAAUUAUUUUUAUUA